RNAcentral lists this unclassified non-coding RNA (267 nucleotides) under Hevea brasiliensis (rubber tree). Lineage: Eukaryota; Viridiplantae; Streptophyta; Magnoliopsida; Malpighiales; Euphorbiaceae. The record is from RNAcentral.
UUAUUUUAUUUUAUUUUAUUUUGUGAUUUAGGUUUUAUUUCUCCUUACUAAAUUUCUCUAAGUUUGAUCUUGCUGAAUGAAAAUAUUAACUAUCAAGAGAAGAAUUAUGCAGUAUUAGAAGAGGAUUAAACUUUGAAACUAUAUUCAUCUUAGAAUUUUGAAGUUUAAAAAUUUUAUUAGGCUUAGAAUUCAUUAUUUAUUAAUUUUAUUAUAUUUGUUAUUAUUUUCCUAAUUUAAGAUUGUAACACUCUAGUUAAAAAAAAAAAA